AAAUUGAAGAGUUUGAUCAUGGCUCAGAUUGAACGCUGGCGGCAGGCCUAACACAUGCAAGUCGAGCGGUAGCACAGAGAGCUUGCUCUCGGGUGACGAGCGGCGGACGGGUGAGUAAUGUCUGGGAAACUGCCUGAUGGAGGGGGA
RNAcentral lists this ribosomal RNA (147 nucleotides) under Pseudomonas aeruginosa. Its description in RNAcentral is "partial 16S ribosomal RNA". It matches the Rfam family "Bacterial small subunit ribosomal RNA", at positions 1 to 143 of the family's 1533-position model. The record is from RNAcentral. RNAcentral also lists the same sequence under 1 other name. Lineage: Bacteria; Pseudomonadati; Pseudomonadota; Gammaproteobacteria; Pseudomonadales; Pseudomonadaceae.